Molecule: long non-coding RNA, 1418 nt
Organism: Carassius auratus (goldfish)
Lineage: Eukaryota; Metazoa; Chordata; Actinopteri; Cypriniformes; Cyprinidae
Exons: 3
Source: RefSeq, a predicted model, not a curated record
UUCCAAAGGAAGUGAAGAGCCGCAUGUCACCUGCACAGUGUGCAGAAUCAUGCUAAGAAUAUAACUCAACAUUUCAGCCGAUGAUGUAGAGACAGAUUGGACUGCGUUGCAAGAAAAAACAGGCAAACUUUGCUUCGUGCACUAAAGAAAAACAAGGGAUAAUGCAUUAGAGCCUUCAACGAGGAGAAACAAAAGUAGAACUCCUCACUUUUUCUUCUACGAGUGGAUAUCAUUUUAGUGAACUCAUUAGUAGUUUAUUUUACUAAGGACUGAACACAUACACACGAUUGUUGCCAAAAUGUCAAACGUCUUGUGUAACACAGACAGAAAUGUUUGAAGAAGAACACUGAAACCUGAAUGAUGCCCAUCAAACUGCAGUUUGAUCAUCAGAGGAGCAAGAACGAGAAGAUGAAGAACAAACAAGAAAAGUCACAAAUGAAAGUGUCAGGAGAUGCAAAUACAGCGAAACCUGUUCGAUGGGACAGCAUGGAGCAUGUGAGACCAGACUUCUCUUGUGAUCAUCCAGAGAAGGUCCAGGAUGAGCACCUUUUAAGAACUCAAGGACAUUACACAAAAUAAAACAAGCAACUGGAAAACGAGAUACACCUGACAAUCAGAGGAGACAUUCAGACAAACAGCUGUUUACAGCAAAUAACUGCAGAUAAGAGUUCAUGCAGUCAGAUGAUGAUGGACAUCAGUUAUGUCAAGAAGGUGCUCAUGUAACAUACAAACAAAGUUAGGACCAAAUACAGGUUUGGUUUGGUUUAUGUAGCUUUCUGUAUUACCGAAUUUGAAUGAGAUGCUGUUCUGUCAUUUAUUCAUUGUGGUGCAGUUUUGAACUUGAAUUCUCGCACUGUAUUUAUUGCACUUUAUUUCCUGCUCUUUGAACUCUUUUCUUUUUUUGAGAACUAGGCAAAUGUGUUUUGUAAAGCCUUACAUUACAUGAAACCAAAUCUGUUUUUGUGGUUCACAAAUCUUAGGCGUCAUAUAGGGGUUGAUAACAGUGACCACUUUUUGAUCUUUGUCCCUCGCGUUAUAUCUGGCAACCCUUGAAGCUUUAAUGAAGAGAACACUCUUGUGUGAAGAAAGAGUUCAGAAAAGAGCAGCACAAGAAGCUACUGUUAAUGAUGACUGAUCAGGAGUUAUAUAACAGUGUUUUAAAUCACACACACACUUUAACCAAAUUACUUUCAGGCCCCAUGGGAACUGUUGUAUUCAGACGUCCAUUCUUUAAAUCUUUUAAAUGUUGUUUAACUGAUAAUACUAAAGUUUAUGCACUGAUUUGUGGACAAUCAUAUUUUAUAUAUAAAAAAAUGUUUUAUAUUAUAAUUGACAUUGUUUCUUCUGACUGUAUUUUUUACAUAAAAGGUGUCAAACAUAUUAUUUGGUUUAUGAAAGGUGUCAAUAAAAGUUUUAAU